AGAGAAUGUGGCUGAUAAGAGGGCUCUCUUCAUUCUUCUUUGGUAUGAUAGAGUACACUCUCAAAACGCUAAACCUCUCCACACCUGGAUUCAAUGUCACCAGUAAAGCCAAUGGUGAUGACGAACAAAAGAAGCGGUACGAGCAAGAAAUAUUCGAUUUUGCGCCCUCUUCGUCCAUUUUCUUACCCAUGACCGCAGUGGCCGUCCUGAAUCUCUUUGCUUUCGUCUCGGGGCUCUAUGGUCUUUUCGCAUGGGGAGAAGGACUCAGCCUUGAGCUGAUGCUUGCAAGCUUCGUGGUGGUGAAUAGCUUACCGAUCUAUGAAGCCAUGGUGCUGAGGAAAGAUGAUGGAAAGUUACAAAAGGGUAUUUGUUUCUUAGCUGGGAUACUCACACUUGUUCUUAUCCUGGGAGGUUACUUUUUACUCAAGUAACUUCAUCUGUUAGGUUUUUUUUUUAAACAAUAAGUCAUCAGGCAGAAGACACAGAAUAUAUAUCCACUUUGUAAUGUGAUGUAAUACAUUGUGGUCUCUUGCAUCAUCAAAAUCUAAUAAAAUUUGAAGAUUUACAACUUUUGUAUUGAUGAUCUACUCGCUAACAAAAUUUGUAUUUGUUUAUUUCUUUCGGGUCAAUGAGUCAAACCGGUGACGUUUGAGAAGAGUCUGGAUGGUCGUUGUCGUCCACCAAGGUUUUGGUCGAAGGGAUGAAGACAGAGGAGCGACAGAGAGGGCAAGUGGUAUGAGAAUAGAGCCAAAGGUGAAUACAAUCGAGAUGAAAUAUAUGUUUGCAUGAAGGCAUUUCCACCAACUCUUCCUUUAACUCGAAUUCUCCCAAACAUACGCAACAUCUGCACCAAUUUUUCAUUAAAUUAGUCAAACUUUCGAUUCACCAAAAACAAGCAACAACCAAAGAUAAAAUUAAACACAAAGACAUGAAACUAUAUAAUAUAUUCAAAUUAGGAUUGAUUUUAUAUAAAUCUUGAUUUUUGUCAAUCUUGAUUUUGGUCUUAUCUAGAAUUUAAACUUUCCGUCUUUUACUUUUAAUAUUCAUUCUAACACUAGAUUGUGACAUGUACUCAAACAAUCCCACAACACCUCUUCAUGCUUUGUGCUAUUUGUCAGACCCUAUGAUAAAUUUCGGUUUAGGAUUUGUGCAAUUUCCUCAGAGGUUUCAAGGAAUUAACAGAAACGAUGUCUAUGCAUCAGAGCUCAUACGUCCCUUUGACAUCAAUAUGGUUGGGUAUGAUGGGCUUAUGGGCCCAAUUCACGUGGGCACUGGGUGCUUUUUCAAUCGACGAGUUUUCUACGGGCCUCCAGCAAAUUUGAUUUUGCCUGAGUUAGAUGAACUUGCGCCAAAUAGGAUUGCAGAUAAGCCCAUUAAGGCCCAUACUGUUUUGGCAUUGGCACACAAUGUAGCUGGAUGCAACUACGAGCAUAACACCAAUUGGGGAUCCAAGGUAAUUAGAUAAAACCAAUAAUCAUAAUCUCUUUAUUUUUCCUGCUUGAUAUCUAAAUUUCAAAUUAUCAUGCAAAACUAUGCAGAUUGGAUUCAGAUAUGGAUCAUUAGUAGAAGACUACUACACAGGGUUCAUGCUUCAUUGUGAAGGAUGGAGAUCAAUGUUUUGUAGACCCCAAAGAGCUGCUUUUUAUGGAAGCGCCCCAAAACGCCUAACAGAUGUAGUGUGCCAACAAAUGCGUUGGUCCAUUGGUCUUCUUGAAAUGGGGUUUUCAAGGUAUAGCCCAUUCACCUAUGGUUUGAAGUCAUUAGGCCUGUUUACAGGCUUAGGCUAUUGCUACUAUGUGGUUUGGCCGUUUUGCUCAAUUCCUCUUACCGUUUAUGGGGUUUUACCUCAGCUUGCCCUAAUAUAUGGGAUUAGAGUGUUCCCCAAGCCAUCAGACCAAUGGUUUUGGCUUUACAUCUUCUUGUCCCUUGGUGCAUAUGCGCAAGAUCUAGCAGAUUUUUUGUUGGAAGGAGGAACUUGUCAGAAAUGGUGGAACGAUCAGAGAAUGUGGCUGAUAAGAGGGCUCUCUUCAUUCUUCUUUGGUAUGAUAGAGUACACUCUCAAAACGCUAAACCUCUCCACACCUGGAUUCAAUGUCACCAGUAAAGCCAAUGGUGAUGACGAACAAAAGAAGCGGUACGAGCAAGAAAUAUUCGAUUUUGCGCCCUCUUCGUCCAUUUUCUUACCCAUGACCGCAGUGGCCGUCCUG
Molecule: long non-coding RNA, 2207 nt
Filed under: Brassica napus (rape)
Lineage: Eukaryota; Viridiplantae; Streptophyta; Magnoliopsida; Brassicales; Brassicaceae
Description: long non-coding RNA (BNAP_LNC000218)
Source: RNAcentral